RNAcentral lists this ribosomal RNA (429 nucleotides) under Acidobacteriota bacterium. RNAcentral's name for it is "Acidobacteria bacterium partial 16S ribosomal RNA". It matches the Rfam family "Bacterial small subunit ribosomal RNA", at positions 355 to 776 of the family's 1533-position model. The record is from RNAcentral. Lineage: Bacteria; Pseudomonadati; Acidobacteriota.
UGGGGAAUUUUGGACACUGGGGGAAACCCUGAUCCAGCCAUCCCGCGUGUGCGAUGAAGGCCUUCGGGUUGUAAAGCACUUUUGGCAGGAAAGAAACGUCAUGGGUUAAUACCCCGUGAAACUGACGGUACCUGCAGAAUAAGCACCGGCUAACUACGUGCCAGCAGCCGCGGUAAUACGUAGGGUGCAAGCGUUAAUCGGAAUUACUGGGCGUAAAGCGUGCGCAGGCGGUUCGGAAAGAAAGAUGUGAAAUCCCAGAGCUCAACUUUGGAACUGCAUUUUUAACUACCGGGCUAGAGUGUGUGAGAGGGAGGUGGAAUUCCGCGUGUAGCAGUGAAGUGCGUAGAUAUGCGGAGGAACACCGAUGGCGAAGGCAGCCUCCUGGGAUAACACUGACGCUCAUGCACGAAAGCGUGGGGAGCAAACAGG